RNAcentral lists this ribosomal RNA (503 nucleotides) under uncultured bacterium. RNAcentral's name for it is "partial 16S ribosomal RNA". It matches the Rfam family "Bacterial small subunit ribosomal RNA", at positions 30 to 523 of the family's 1533-position model. The record is from RNAcentral.
AUUGAACGCUGGCGGCAUGCCUUACACAUGCAAGUCGAACGGCAGCACGGGAGCUUGCUCCUGGUGGCGAGUGGCGAACGGGUGAGUAAUACAUCGGAACGUACUCCGUAGUGGGGGAUAACGCACCGAAAGGUGCGCUAAUACCGCAUACGACCUACGGGUGAAAGCGGGGUACCGUAAGGCCCCGCGCUAUUGGAGCGGCCGAUGUCUGAUUAGCUAGUUGGCGGGGGAAUAGCCCACCAAGGCGACGAUCAGUAGCUGGUCUGAGAGGACGAUCAGCCACACUGGGACUGAGACACGGCCCAGACUCCUACGGGAGGCAGCAGUGGGGAAUUUUGGACAAUGGGGGCAACCCUGAUCCAGCAAUGCCGCGUGUGCGAAGAAGGCCUUCGGGUUGUAAAGCACUUUUGUCAGGGAAGAAAUCUUUCAGGCUAAUACCCUUGGAAGGAUGACGGUACCUGAAGAAUAAGCACCGGCUAACUACGUGCCAGCAGCCGCAGUAA